Pangasius djambal is the source of this 74-nucleotide non-coding RNA. The record is from the annotation of a GenBank genome assembly. NCBI's taxonomy places the organism in Eukaryota, Metazoa, Chordata, Actinopteri, Siluriformes, Pangasiidae.
GGCAGUGGUAGCUCUGUGGUUACGACAUUGGACUACUGAUCGGAAGGUCAUGAGUUUGAACCCCAGCACCGCCA